Molecule: transfer RNA, 89 nt
Filed under: Streptomyces sp. YIM 130001
Lineage: Bacteria; Bacillati; Actinomycetota; Actinomycetes; Kitasatosporales; Streptomycetaceae
Description: tRNA-Leu
Source: RNAcentral
CCGAACGCGCCUGGCGGCGCAGCGCGGGUAAGGCCUGCGGGACUCCGUGGCUGCGGUUGUGGCGCUGGUACGACGCCAGCCGCUCGCCC